UUUCGAAUCAUUCACAAUGGGCGAAAGCCUGAUGGUGCAAUGCCGCGUGGGGGAUGAAGGUCUUCGGAUCGUAAACCCCUGUCACCAAGGACUAAAAAACGGUGAAGAGCCGUCUUGAAUUAACUUGGAGAGGAAGCAGUGGCUAACUCCGUGCCAGCAGCCGCGGUAAUACGGAGACUGCAAGCGUUACUCGGAUUUACUGGGCGUAAAGGGUGCGCAGGCGGCCAGGUAUGUCAGAGGUGAAAUCCCACAGCUCAACUGUGGAACUGCCUUUGAAACUACCUGGCUAGAGUAUUGGAGAGGUAAGCGGAAUUCCUAGUGUAGCGGUGAAAUGCGUAGAUAUUAGGAGGAACACCAAAGGCGAAGGCAGCUUACUGGACAAUUACUGACGCUCAUGCACGAAAGCGUGGGGAGCAAAAGGGAUUAGAUACCCCUGUAGUCCACGCCGUAAACGUUGUAUACUCGGUCUUGGGGGAUUCGACCCCUUCAGGGCCUAAGCUAACGCGAUAAGUAUACCGCCUGAGGACUACGACCGCAAGGUUA
RNAcentral lists this ribosomal RNA (543 nucleotides) under uncultured bacterium. RNAcentral describes it as "bacterial SSU rRNA". It matches the Rfam family "Bacterial small subunit ribosomal RNA", at positions 355 to 896 of the family's 1533-position model. The record is from RNAcentral.